UGAAUCAGUCUUUAUCUAUGAGCUGAAUUCAGUGUGCUAUCGAAGAAGGUGCCGCAAUUGGUGACAGACAAAUAUUAACAACUAAAAGGAAAUACCGAAAUUGAAGCCCUGGAGCGCUGAAGGCCAUCCCAGAAGUAGUGACUGUAAGAAGACGAACUUUGUUUCAAUCAUCGUUCGUAUCAAAAUCGUCGUCAAGUUCUCCAUCCAAAUGGCAGAUCUCCAGUUACCAACCAUUCAGGCUUUGGAUUACUUUUUACGGGAAACUGGAGUCAGGAUCAAUGCCUGUAAUAACAAAGGGGAAACACCAUUACAUCUAGCCGUGCAGUUUGAAGAUACGGAAGCAGUGGAAUUUUUCUUAGAGUGUAGAGCAAAUAUGGAUGCCGAAACCAAACGUGGUGAAACGCCGUUAAUAGAAGCAGGAUUGAAUAGUUUCGUGCAAAUCAUAGAUGUUCUGUUAGAACACGGUGCUGUUUACAAGAUCAAAAACGUUGUGAAUCAAAAUCUGAUUCAUUUGGAUGUGCAAAGUUACCAACCUGUGGUCUGCAUGUAGCAGCUGGUGAGAAAAAAAAUGGAAAAACCGUUACAGCAUUGUUACAGCAAGGCGCCACAGUUGAUAUGGUGACUUAUAAUGAGGACCUUCCUCUACAUAAAGCAGCAGUAUCAGGAAACGAGCAAGCAGUAAGGCUGCUCUAUCGAAAGAAUUUUUUAAUUUGGUAAAAUCGAUGUGGACUCACACCUUUCAUUAAAGGUCAUUAUUACGGCUAAAUCCUAUGGAAGACGGUCAGUAGUGUAUUUACUUGAGGAGCUGGAAAUGUGUGAAAAGUUUCAAACAACCAGCACGGACAGUUUCCACGACUUCGAGUUUCAAGCGUUUCUCCCUGGGUCCAAAAUUCUUCAAAUUUUAUACAAUUUGUCACAGAUAUUGUGAAGGAAUCAGUUUUUGGUGGAUAUCGAAUGGCAAAUGUGUCACUUGUUCUUGAUUUAACUUUAUCACAUUCUGCAUAAAUAAUAAAUAAGUUUAAAUAAU
Dendroctonus ponderosae (mountain pine beetle) is the source of this 1027-nucleotide long non-coding RNA. RefSeq lists it as uncharacterized. Lineage: Eukaryota; Metazoa; Arthropoda; Insecta; Coleoptera; Curculionidae. The transcript has 2 exons. The record is from RefSeq and is a predicted model, not a curated record.